UUUUCACCUGUGGAUUUAAAAGCCCAUCCAACCAUGAAUUUGAGGAGUUACUGAUAAAGUAUGGUGACAGGACAGUAAGUCUUGGGCUUGAGUCCCAGUUACACAAAGCCCUUCAGAUAUUGCGUUUCAUGCUGAUACCCUGUGUUAUUGCAGUGUUGAUGAUUACUAUUUCUGGCAGAAGAGACUCGCAAUUGAGAUGAAUAAGCUCUGACCACUGACCAGCCUGAGUGUUCUUGGGAAAA
Long non-coding RNA from Oreochromis niloticus (Nile tilapia), 242 nucleotides. RefSeq lists it as uncharacterized. NCBI's taxonomy places the organism in Eukaryota, Metazoa, Chordata, Actinopteri, Cichliformes, Cichlidae. The record is from RefSeq and is a predicted model, not a curated record. The transcript has 3 exons.